Molecule: ribosomal RNA, 497 nt
Filed under: uncultured bacterium
Lineage: Bacteria
Description: partial 16S ribosomal RNA
Rfam family: Bacterial small subunit ribosomal RNA
Source: RNAcentral
GAUGAACGAUGGCGGAGGGAAGAAAAAAGGAAAAUCGAGACACCAGACGAGGAGCUUGGUGAGAUCAAGUUAGCGGCGGACGGGUGAAUAACACGUGGAUAACCUACCUAUAAGACUGGGAUAACUUACGGUAACCGGAGCUAAUACCUGUACAUAUAUUGACACGCAUGGUUCAAUAGUGAAAGACGGUUUUGCUGUCACUUAUAGAUGGAUCCGCGCCGCAUUAGCUAGUUGGUAAGGUAACGGCUAACAAAGGCAAGGAUGCGUCGCCGACCUGAGAGGGUCCUCAGCCACACGGGAACUGAGACACGGUCCAGACUCCUACGGGAGGCAGCAGUAGGGAAUCUUCCGCAAUGGGCGAAAGCCUGACGGAGCAACGCCGGUGGAGUGAUGAAGGUCUUCGGAUGCUAACCCUCUGUUCGUAUGGAAGAACAAAUGGCUAAUUAACUAUACACGUCUUGACGGUACCUAAUCAGAAAGCCUCGGCUACUUACGUC